GGGUGCGAUAAUACCAGCACUAAUGAACUGGAUCCCAUCAGAACUCUGCAGUUAAGAGUGAUUGGGCAAGAGUAGUACUAGGAUGGGUGACCUUUUGGGAAGUCCUCGUGUUGCACCCC
Molecule: ribosomal RNA, 119 nt
Filed under: Gossypium arboreum
Lineage: Eukaryota; Viridiplantae; Streptophyta; Magnoliopsida; Malvales; Malvaceae
Source: RNAcentral